Molecule: long non-coding RNA, 1532 nt
Filed under: Spirodela polyrhiza (greater duckweed)
Lineage: Eukaryota; Viridiplantae; Streptophyta; Magnoliopsida; Alismatales; Araceae
Description: long non-coding RNA (SPOL_LNC001433)
Source: RNAcentral
CCAAAGUGCCCAAGAGUCGGGAGACAGAUGCCCAGUGGAUUAUCAGUGAGCGACCUUCACAUCAAGAGCUCUGUACCCUUGCUUGUUGAGGCCUUUAUAGGAUACAGAAAUUAACGUAAAUAUUCAUCGUCCUACGCACCUAAUCCAAAAACACCAAUGUCAACUGUCAGAUCGGAAGGCAAAAUAAAUUAUGGGCAUAAAGGUCAGUUAACAAACACCCGAUUGAGCAUUCAAUCUGGUGUUUGCCUUCCAAAAGGAGAUAUAUCACUCAGUUGAGAAUGCAAUAAACAGUUAAGAAUUGAUGGCUUUUUGAAGGUGGGGAUUUUAAUCCGAUAUUAUGAAAGCUGCUGCAUCUCAUCUGACAAUGGGACUGGGAAAAUGAACAUAUCUUUAGCCCGCCGUCAUGAACAGGCAAAUGGACCAGGACAUUUUCCUUCAGAAUGGGCGCCAAUCGACAAAGUACCGUUUUGGUCAGGAGAUCAGCUUUAGUUUUCUAAAUCCUUUUAUACUUGCAAAUACGUAUGAUCCAUGCCAGGAGCUAAGGAGACCAUCGAUUUAUUGUAAAAUCCUCUGUUUGACUAAAAAAAAACCCAAUUCAACACCUGCCAUGUGGAAUCAAUCCAUUUUCCUAGGAGGUGAACGUACUCUUCAUCAUGUUGUAUGACUAGUUCAAAAGAAACACCACUGAUAAAUACCCAUAAGUACAUUAAAUUAACAGAACGUCACCAAAAGCUAAGGAUUAUACAAUCAGAUUGGCUUACGCAAAAAAAUGAUGCCCUCUUUGGUUUCGACACAUCCCUGAUGCACGUUGAAUUUAAAUUAAUGCGAGAUAUGGAACCAUAAGCAUAGUACAGGGCAAGGGGAAAGGAAGAAAAGGCUUGAAAUUUAUGGGUAAGAUUUCAAAGUUUAGUCAAGAUGAUGACUGCAAACAGUAACAAAAGUUGCAAAAAAUAUGACCAUGAUUGGAAUAGAUUAUGUAAAUUCAUAUAGACAACAAAGAUAACGUCGGCUUGUUUAUGCAUAAACAUUUAGAAGAACAAAAAUUAGUUGCACUUGAUCAAGGGACGGAACCAACGCACUGAAGAUAUGAGGGACGGAAUAUUCGUGCAUGAAAUUCAAUCCAUGGAAUAAAUUUACGGGGAAAAAAGGUAGGCACAAACCUCCUUUCUAGAAUUUUCCUUAACAGCUGAUUCAGGGGAGUAUUCAUAGAUGGAGACGAAAACAUCCAAUGGCAUCUCUCAACUGUUUGGUUCCUGAAGUGAUGCAAACAUGUCUUGGUAUGCGGUUUCCAUGACUGCCGAGUAAACAUUGUUCAGCGUCAAAAUAGGCUAACAAGUUAAUCUUCGUGUCUGAAUCCUCAACUGCAAUUACUUCACGAAUAGUGCGGCCGGGACUACCGAAUCCGCUCUCUAAUUUAACUAUGGUACAAUCUCGUUGACUUGGUGACUCAUGAUAAUCAACCAGACUUUGUCCAUAGACUGUGGGAUUUUCAAUCAUCUUAUCUUCGAUUUUGCUUAUCGAAGGUAGGUCAC